AUUUUGGACAAUGGGCGCAAGCCUGAUCCAGCCAUGCCGCGUGCGGGAAGAAGGCCUUCGGGUUGUAAACCGCUUUUGGCAGGAACGAAACGGCGAUCCCUAAUACGGAUCGUUAAUGACGGUACCUGCAGAAUAAGCACCGGCUAACUACGUGCCAGCAGCCGCGGUAAUACGUAGGGUGCAAGCGUUAAUCGGAAUUACUGGGCGUAAAGCGUGCGCAGGCGGCUUUGCAAGACAGGUGUGAAAUCCCCGGGCCUAACCUGGGAACUGCACUUGUGACUGCAUGGCUAGAGUUUGUCAGAGGGGGGUGGAAUUCCACGUGUAGCAGUGAAAUGCGUAGAGAUGUGGAGGAACACCGAUGGCGAAGGCAGCCCCCUGGGAUAUGACUGACGCUCAUGCACGAAAGCGUGGGGAGCAAACAGG
This 423-nucleotide ribosomal RNA is filed under the name uncultured bacterium. Its description in RNAcentral is "bacterial SSU rRNA". It matches the Rfam family "Bacterial small subunit ribosomal RNA", at positions 361 to 776 of the family's 1533-position model. The record is from RNAcentral.